RNAcentral lists this long non-coding RNA (208 nucleotides) under Citrus maxima (pomelo). RNAcentral's name for it is "long non-coding RNA (CMAX_LNC003990)". Lineage: Eukaryota; Viridiplantae; Streptophyta; Magnoliopsida; Sapindales; Rutaceae. The record is from RNAcentral.
UGACAUUGCAUAGUUACUAAGCACUAUAACAUAUCUUAGCCAUUACCCAAUAAUAAUAUAAAAUGAAAAAUAAUUAAAUAAUCAAAUAUACAAAUAUAACUUAUAAAAAUUGUAAAACAAAAUAAAAGCAAAGUCACACGCUCUAACAAAAGCAAAGUAACAUAACGCCAAGUCACCAACAAUUUGCAAACAAAAAACCCUAAGCUUC